UACGAAGGGGGCUAGCGUUGCUCGGAAUCACUGGGCGUAAAGCGCACGUAGGCGGACCUGCAAGUCGGGGGUGAAAGCCCGAGGCUCAACCUCGGAACUGCCUUCGAUACUGCGGGUCUCGAGUCCGGGAGAGGUGAGUGGAAUUCCUAGUGUAGAGGUGAAAUUCGUAGAUAUUAGGAAGAACACCAGUGGCGAAGGCGGCUCACUGGCCCGGUACUGACGCUGAGGCGCGAAAGCGUGGGGAGCAAACAGG
RNAcentral lists this ribosomal RNA (253 nucleotides) under uncultured bacterium. Its description in RNAcentral is "partial 16S ribosomal RNA". It matches the Rfam family "Bacterial small subunit ribosomal RNA", at positions 524 to 776 of the family's 1533-position model. The record is from RNAcentral.